UGAGUACGAGACGCUAAGGCGUCGAAGUAGUGGAUGUCAUACUUCCAAGAAAAGCUUGCACUGUCAUAAAUAAGAAAUGCCUGUACCAUAACCGACACAGGUGGGUAAGUAGAGUAUACUAAGGGGCGCGAGAUAACUCUCUCUAAGGAACUCGGCAAAAUAACUCCGUAACUUCGGGAGAAGGAGUGCCUUAUUCUUAAGGUUGCAAUAACAAGAUCCAAGCAACUGUUUAUCAAAAACACAGGUCUCCGCUAAGUCGUAAGACGAUGUAUGGGGGCUGACGCCUGCCCAGUGCCAGAAGGUUAAAGAAGUCGGUUAGCAAUAGCAAAGCUGGUAACUGAAGCCCUGGUGAACGGCGGCCGUAACGAUAACGGUCCUAAGGUAGCGAAAUUCCUUGUCGGGUAAGUUCCGACCCGCACGAAAGGCGUAAUGAUUUGGAUGCUGUCUCGGAGAGGGGCUCGGUGAAAUAGACUUGUCUGUGAAGAUGCGGACUACCUGCACCAGGACAGAAAGACCCUAUGAAGCUUUACUGUAACUUGAAAUUGAAAUUGGACUUUAUUCGCGCAGUAUAGGUGGGAGGCGUUGAUUAUAAUCUUGUGGGAUUAUUGGAGCCAUCAGUGAGAUACCACUCUUGUAAUGUUAGAUUUCUAACUUUGAAUCAUUAUCUGGUCAAAGGACAGUUUCAGGCGGGCAGUUUGACUGGGGCGGUCGCCUCCUAAACGGUAACGGAGGCGUACAAAGGUUUCCUCUGAACGGUUAGAAAUCGUAUCUAGAGUGUAAAGGCAUAAGGAAGCUUGACUGUGAGACCUACAAGUCGAGCAGGGACGAAAGUCGGUCUUAGUGAUCUGACGGUACUGAGUGGAAAGGCCGUCACUCAACGGAUAAAAGUUACUCUAAGGAUAACAGGCUGAUCUCCCCCAAGAGUUCACAUCGACGGGGAGGUUUGGCACCUCGAUGUCGGCUCAUCGCAUCCUGGGGCGGUAGUACGUCCCAAGGGUUGGGCUGUUCGCCCAUGAAAGCGGUACGCGAGCUGGGUUCAGAACGUCGUGAGACAGUUCGGUCCAUAUCCGGUGUAGGCGCUAGAAUAUUGAGAGGAGCCUUCUUUAGUACGAGAGGACCGAGAAGGACAUACCUCUGGUGUACCAGUUAUCGUGCCAACGGUAAACGCUGGGUAGCUAUGUAUGGAGUGGAUAACCGCUGAAAGCAUCUAAGUGGGAAGCCCACCUCAAGAUAAGUAUUCUCAC
RNAcentral lists this ribosomal RNA (1244 nucleotides) under metagenome. Its description in RNAcentral is "bacterial LSU rRNA". It matches the Rfam family "Bacterial large subunit ribosomal RNA", at positions 1564 to 2817 of the family's 2925-position model. The record is from RNAcentral.